UACGAGGGGGGCAAGCGUUGUUCGGAAUUAUUGGGCGUAAAGGGUGCGUAGGCGGUCUGAUAAGUCAUCUGUGAAAUCUAUGGGCUCAACCCAUAGUCUGCAGGCGAAACUGUCGGGCUUGAGUAUGGGAGAGGUGAGUGGAAUUUCCGGUGUAGCGGUGAAAUGCGUAGAGAUCCGGAAGAACACCGGUGGCGAAGGCGGUGAGCUGGGCAGUAGCUGACACUGAGGCGCGACAGCGUGGGGAGCAAACAGG
Molecule: ribosomal RNA, 253 nt
Filed under: uncultured bacterium
Lineage: Bacteria
Description: partial 16S ribosomal RNA
Rfam family: Bacterial small subunit ribosomal RNA
Source: RNAcentral